This 492-nucleotide ribosomal RNA is filed under the name uncultured bacterium. Its description in RNAcentral is "partial 16S ribosomal RNA". It matches the Rfam family "Bacterial small subunit ribosomal RNA", at positions 28 to 507 of the family's 1533-position model. The record is from RNAcentral.
GAUGAACGCUGGCGGCGUGCCUAAUACAUGCAAGUCGAACGCCAACACGAGGAGCUUGCUCUUCUUCGGUUAGCGGCGGACGGGUGAGUAACGCGUAGAUAACCUUCCUCUUAGCCGGGGAUAACUACGGGAAACGAUAGCUAAUACCGCAUCAUACUAUCUACCGCAUGUCUCAUAUGUGAAAGGGGCAUUUGCUGUCCCAUAAAACGGAUGUCGGAUUGGUUAGUUGGUGGGGUAAAGGCCCGCCAAGGCAACGAACCGUAGCUGGCCUGAGAGGGUGAUCGGCCACACUGGAACUGAGACACGGUCCAGCCUCCUACGGGAGGAAGCAGUGGGGAAUAUUGGCCAAUGGGCGAAAGCCUGACGGAGCAAUACCGCGUGGGUGAGGAAGGUCUUCGGGUUGUAAAGCCCUUUUUUUGGGAAAGACCAGCGGGAGAGUAAAACGUGCACGUUUUGACGGUACCUAACCAGAAAGCAACGGCUAACUACGUG